This 73-nucleotide transfer RNA is filed under the name Camelus bactrianus (Bactrian camel). It matches the Rfam family "tRNA". Rfam says of the family: Transfer RNA (tRNA) molecules are approximately 80 nucleotides in length. The record is from Rfam by way of RNAcentral. Lineage: Eukaryota; Metazoa; Chordata; Mammalia; Artiodactyla; Camelidae. RNAcentral also lists the same sequence under 2 other names.
GGAGGUAUAGCUUAAGUGGUAGAGGACAUGCUUAGUAUGCACGAGGUCCCGGGUUCAAUUCCCAGUACCUCCU